UGGGGAAUAUUGGACAAUGGGCGAAAGCCUGAUCCAGCCAUGCCGCAUGAGUGAAGAAGGCCUUUGGGUUGUAAAGCUCUUUUAGUGAGGAAGAUAAUGACGGUACUCACAGAAGAAGUCCUGGCUAACUCCGUGCCAGCAGCCGCGGUAAUACGGAGAGGGCUAGCGUUAUUCGGAAUUAUUGGCGUAAAGGGCGCGUAGGCUGGUUAAUAAGUUAAAAGUGAAAUCCCGAGGCUUAACCUUGGAAUUGCUUUUAAAACUAUUAAUCUAGAGAUUGAAAGAGGAUAGAGGAAUUCCUGAUGUAGAGGUAAAAUUCGUAAAUAUUAGGAGGAACACCGGUGGCGAAGGCGUCUAUCUGGUUCAAAUCUGACGCUGAAGCGCGAAGGCGUGGGGAGCAAACA
RNAcentral lists this ribosomal RNA (401 nucleotides) under uncultured bacterium. Its description in RNAcentral is "partial 16S ribosomal RNA". It matches the Rfam family "Bacterial small subunit ribosomal RNA", at positions 355 to 774 of the family's 1533-position model. The record is from RNAcentral.